This 67-nucleotide transfer RNA is filed under the name Pagurus lanuginosus. RNAcentral's name for it is "tRNA-Leu". Lineage: Eukaryota; Metazoa; Arthropoda; Malacostraca; Decapoda; Paguridae. The record is from RNAcentral.
AUUAAGAUGGCAGAAAGUGCCCAAGAUUUAAGCUCUUGUAAUGAAAUAAUUAUAAUUUCUCUUAAUA